CAAUAGCGUAUAUUAAAGUUGUUGCGGUUAAAAAGCUCGUAGUUGGAUUUCUGCUGAGGACGACCGGUCCGCCCUCCGGGUGAGCAUCUGGUUCGGCCUUGGCAUCUUCUUGGUGAACGUAUCUGCACUUGACUGUGUGGUGCGGUACCCAGGACUUUUACUUUGAGGAAAUUAGAGUGUUUCAAACAGGCCCACGCCUUGAAUACAUUAGCAUGGAAUAAUAAGAUAGGACCUCGGUUCUAUUUUGUUGGUUUCUAGAGCUGAGGUAAUGAUUAAUAGGGAUAGUUGGGGGCAUUCGUAUUUAACUGUCAGAGGUGAAAUUCUUAGAUUUGCCAAAGACGAACUACUGCGAAAGCAUUUGCCAAGCAUGCUUUCAUUGAUCAAGGACUAAAGUUAGGGGAUCGAAGAUGAUUAGAU
Molecule: ribosomal RNA, 417 nt
Filed under: uncultured eukaryote
Lineage: Eukaryota
Description: SSU rRNA
Rfam family: Eukaryotic small subunit ribosomal RNA
Source: RNAcentral